RNAcentral lists this ribosomal RNA (450 nucleotides) under uncultured bacterium. RNAcentral describes it as "bacterial SSU rRNA". It matches the Rfam family "Bacterial small subunit ribosomal RNA", at positions 354 to 795 of the family's 1533-position model. The record is from RNAcentral.
GUGGGGAAUAUUGGACAAUGGGGGGAACCCUGAUCCAGCCAUGCCGCGUGUGUGAAGAAGGCCUUUUGGUUGUAAAGCACUUUAAGCGAGGAGGAGGCUACCGAGAUUAAUACUCUUGGAUAGUGGACGUUACUCGCAGAAUAAGCACCGGCUAACUCUGUGCCAGCAGCCGCGGUAAUACAGAGGGUGCAAGCGUUAAUCGGAUUUACUGGGCGUAAAGCGCGCGUAGGUGGCCAAUUAAGUCAAAUGUGAAAUCCCCGAGCUUAACUUGGGAAUUGCAUUCGAUACUGGUUGGCUAGAGUAUGGGAGAGGAUGGUAGAAUUCCAGGUGUAGCGGUGAAAUGCGUAGAGAUCUGGAGGAAUACCGAUGGCGAAGGCAGCCAUCUGGCCUAAUACUGACACUGAGGUGCGAAAGCAUGGGGAGCAAACAGGAUUAGAUACCCGUGUAUCC